UGAAGAAGCGGGGAUACUCCUAUAAGACGAAAAGACCCCAUGGAGCUUCAAACCCAACUACACCCUUAACUACCACAACCGCACAACCUCUUAGGGCCCUGUAUAGUUGGUUUUAGGUUGGGGCGACCACGGAGUACAACCAAACCUCCGCAAUGGACGGGACCACUCCCUUAUCUAAGAGCCACACCUCUAAGAAUUAAAACACUAACAUAAAAUGAUCCAUGAUCUGAUCAAUGAACCAAGUUACCCUGGGGAUAACAGCGCAAUCCAUUUCAAGAGCCCUUAUCGACAAGUGGGUUUACGACCUCGAUGUUGGAUCAGGGUAUCCUAGUGGUGCAGCAGCUACUAAUGGUUCGUUUGUUCAACGAUUAAAACCCU
Molecule: ribosomal RNA, 378 nt
Filed under: Mantidactylus opiparis
Lineage: Eukaryota; Metazoa; Chordata; Amphibia; Anura; Mantellidae
Description: partial 16S ribosomal RNA
Rfam family: Bacterial large subunit ribosomal RNA
Source: RNAcentral